Molecule: ribosomal RNA, 484 nt
Filed under: uncultured bacterium
Lineage: Bacteria
Description: partial 16S ribosomal RNA
Rfam family: Bacterial small subunit ribosomal RNA
Source: RNAcentral
AUUGAACGCUGGCGGCAGGCCUAACACAUGCAAGUCGAGCGGAUGAAGGGAGCUUUCUCCUGGAUUCAGCUGCGGACGGGUGAGUAAUGCCUAGGAAUCUGCCUGGUAGUGGGGGAUAACGUCCGUAAACGGGCGCUGAUACCGCAUACGUCCUGAUGGAGAAAGUGGUGGAUCUUCGGACCUCACGCUAUCAGAUGAGCCUAGGUCGGAUUAGCUAGUUGGUGUGGUAAAGGCCUACCAAGGCGACGAUCCGUAACUGGUCUGAGAGGAUGAUCAGUCACACUGGAACUGAGACACGGUCCAGACUCCUACGGGAGGCAGCAGUGGGGAAUAUUGGACAAUGGGCGAAAGCCUGAUCCAGCAAUGCCGCGUGUGUGAAGAAGGUCUUCGGAUUGUAAAGCACUUUAAGUUGGGAGGAAGGGCAGUAAGUUAAUACCUUGCUGUUUUGACGUUACCAAAAGAAUAAGCACCGGCUAACUUCGUG